CUACAUGGAAAAAUAUUUUUUUUGUUGAGGUUAAAGCUGGGUUAUUAUUUCACUAACUGUUGGUUCAUUGUCAGGUACUAUCUUUAUUAUCCAACUAAUCGAUUGAUUGGAUUUUAAUAAAUUUGAAGAUUAAAUUUAAAACAUAAACCAAUUAAAUUUAUAAAAAAAAUAUUUUUAUUAUAUUUGUUAUUUACUUGUCAGAUUUAUAGAAUUACAGGAAGAGUUUUGUGGACUUUUGUAAAAUUUCCACUCAUUAAGUUUAAUUGGCCAUAUGUACUUUUAUGUAUAUAAAGAAUCAAAGAUAAGUAUAGUUAUAAGAAGUGAUUAUAUUACUGAAGAUUUAACAGAUCCUGGAGUUUAGUUAAAAAAAGACCAGUAUAUUAAAUCUAUUAUUGAUGUAUUAGCAAUGUAUCUGGGUAGGACUUGAAACCUGUUAAAUAAACAUUGUAACACAUCACAGCAAGUGAAUUCAGUACCAUUAAAGCAUAUAAUAUUGUUUUUAUUUGUUUUAUUUAUCAAACUGGAGAUAAUGGCAGUUUUAAAUGACCUUGACUGGCUAUACAGCCCUCCCAGCGAAAAAAUUUCGGCGACAGUUCUGGGGGCCGCGUUUCCCAGACUCUUUCUCACAUUGAAACGCAAAUUUCUUUAGCUAUUUUUUCUACAAUAUUCUGGUCUCACAUCAAAAAUAUAGAUUUAUUUUAAUUUAAGAUUUUUCGGUUUUAGGGACAAGAUUAAAAGACCAAUAUGUAGGAUAAAG
RNAcentral lists this long non-coding RNA (757 nucleotides) under Mytilus galloprovincialis (Mediterranean mussel). Lineage: Eukaryota; Metazoa; Mollusca; Bivalvia; Mytilida; Mytilidae. The record is from RNAcentral.